CACCAACCCAUUUCUGGGACAUACUUUACCCUUUCUCCAUAUCUCUCCAUUUCAAUCCUCUCCCUUUCCCUGCUUCCAUAUCCCUAUUUCCCCCAAUCUACAUCCCAGCUCCCACUAUUACAUCUUUCUCCACACAGUGUGUUCUUGUUCGGGUAUGUCUUCGUUACUAUAACUACCCUCGUACCCGCGUUUGGCUCUUCCUCAGGUGUGCCACAGACACGACUCUGUCCCUGUUAUCAGAGUGAUGAUAGUUUUGAUCAUAUCCACAAUUUCUUGGGUUCCUCGAUGGGUGAUCACAUGUUUUGCAGCUGGUCGAUUACUCUAUUUCUAAUGCGGAUCAGGACUCUACUUCUGCCGAUCAUUGCGGAAUAGGAUGCUACUUUUGUCGAUCAUGCCUACCCCAAAUGUGGGAAGACUCCUGUGAUGGAUCCGUUAGCACAUGAGGAAGAACAGUUGCAACCAAGGAGGUUCGAGCGGUUACAGGUUCUGCAAAAUUUUCCACAUAGGAGGAUACAUUGGAGUUGUGACUGCCUUACCAAUCUACGGGAUAGAGGCAAGGUGCAUUUUGAUGGAAUGACAGAGUUUUUUUUUUUCAAGUAAAACUUCCCUAACUUCUGUUAUUAAAUUUUCUCACUUCCAAUUUCAUGAUACUUUAAGACGAUUUUCAAUUUUAUUUUAUGAAUUUAUGUGGACAUUAACUACUUAACUAGACUUUUAUUGCUCUUUACAAUUUUUAGAUCAAAAAAAUUUUGCAAGGAUUUUCAUUAAUUAUGUUCAUUAAUUAAUCUCUACAAUUACAUAAUCUGCACAAUUUGUUUUUUUUUUUUUCAAAUUCAUCAUUAUAAAAAAAAAAAUUAAUGUGCCACAGACACGACUCUGUCCCUAUUAUCAGAGUGAUGAUAGUUUUGAUCAUAUCCACAAUUUCUUGGGUUCCUCGAUGGGUUUAUCACAUGUUUUGCAGCUGGUCGAUUACUCUACUUCUAAUGCGGAUCAGGACUCUACUUUUGCCAAUCAUUGCGGAAUAGGAUGCUACUUUUGUCGAUCAGCCCUACUCCAAAUGUGGGAAGACUCCUGUGAUGGAUCCCUUAGUACAUGAGGAUGAACAGUUGCAACCAUAUAAAAAUUAAGUAUUUCAUAUAUAAUUCAUAUACUUCAUAUAAAGAAUUUAAGUAUUUCACAUUUGUAUUAACAA
This 1192-nucleotide long non-coding RNA is filed under the name Coffea arabica (coffee). Its description in RNAcentral is "long non-coding RNA (CARA_LNC005641)". Lineage: Eukaryota; Viridiplantae; Streptophyta; Magnoliopsida; Gentianales; Rubiaceae. The record is from RNAcentral.